CACUAUGCUUAGCCCUAAACAUAGAUAAAAAUCUACUUAUUUUAUCCGCCUGGGAACUACGAGCGUUAGCUUAAAACCCAAAGGACUUGGCGGUGCUUUAGAUCCACCUAGAGGAGCCUGUUCUAGAACCGAUAAUCCCCGUUAAACCUCACCUUUCCUUGUCUUUUUCCGCCUAUAUACCGCCGUCGUCAGCUUACUCUGUGAAGAACCUGCAGUAGGCGCAAUCGGUACAGCCCAAAACGCCAGGUCGAGGUGUAGCGUAUGGAAAGGGAAGAAAUGGGCUACAUUCGAUAUUUUAUUGAAUACGGACGACAUCCUGAAAUAAAUGUCUGAAGGAGGAUUUAGCAGUAAGCAGAGAAUAGAGAGCCCUGCUGAAACUGGCCCUGAAGCGCGCACACACCGCCCGUCACUCUCCCCGAGCUAAUAAACUUUUAUUAACUAAAAAACGAAACCUGUAAAGGGGAGGCAAGUCGUAA
RNAcentral lists this ribosomal RNA (476 nucleotides) under Halichoeres solorensis (green wrasse). RNAcentral describes it as "partial small subunit ribosomal RNA". It matches the Rfam family "Bacterial small subunit ribosomal RNA", at positions 788 to 1491 of the family's 1533-position model. The record is from RNAcentral. Lineage: Eukaryota; Metazoa; Chordata; Actinopteri; Labriformes; Labridae.